Molecule: ribosomal RNA, 404 nt
Filed under: Actinomycetes bacterium
Lineage: Bacteria; Bacillati; Actinomycetota; Actinomycetes
Description: Actinobacteria bacterium partial 16S ribosomal RNA
Rfam family: Bacterial small subunit ribosomal RNA
Source: RNAcentral
UGUGGAAUAUUGGACAAUGUGCGCAAGCCUGCUCCAGCCAUGCCGCGUGAGUGAUGAAGGCCCUAGGGUUGUAAAGCUCUUUCACCGGUGAAGAUAAUGACGGUAACCGGAGAAGAAGCCCCGGCUAACUUCGUGCCAGCAGCCGCGGUAAUACGAAGGGGGCUAGCGUUGUUCGGAUUUAAUGGGCGUAAAGCGCACGUAGGCGUACUUUUAAGUCAGGGGUGAAAUCCCAGGGCUCAACCCCGGAACUGCCUUUGAUACUGGAAGUCUUGAGUAUGGUAGAGGUGAGUGGAAUUCCGAGUGUAGAGGUGAAAUUCGUAGAUAUUCGGAGGAACACCAGUGGCGAAGGCGGCUCACUGGACCAUUACUGACGCUAAGGUGCGAAAGCGUGGGGAGCAAACAGG